GACGAACGCUGGCGGCGUGCCUAAUACAUGCAAGUUGAGCGCUGAAGGUUGGUACUUGUACCAACUGGAUGAGCAGCGAACGGGUGAGUAACGCGUGGGGAAUCUGCCUUUGAGCGGGGACAACAUUUGGAAACGAAUGCUAAUACCGCAUAAAAACUUUAAACACAAGUUUUAAGUUUGAAAGAUGCAAUUGCAUCACUCAAAGAUGAUCCCGCGUUGUAUUAGCUAGUUGGUGAGGUAAAGGCUCACCAAGGCGAUGAUACAUAGCCGACCUGAGAGGGUGAUCGGCCACAUUGGGACUGAGACACGGCCCAAACUCCUACGGGAGGCAGCAGUAGGGAAUCUUCGGCAAUGGACGAAAGUCUGACCGAGCAACGCCGCGUGAGUGAAGAAGGUUUUCGGAUCGUAAAACUCUGUUGGUAGAGAAGAACGUUGGUGAGAGUGGAAAGCUCAUCAAGUGACGGUAACUACCCAGAAAGGGACGGCUAACUACGU
RNAcentral lists this ribosomal RNA (495 nucleotides) under uncultured bacterium. RNAcentral's name for it is "partial 16S ribosomal RNA". It matches the Rfam family "Bacterial small subunit ribosomal RNA", at positions 28 to 506 of the family's 1533-position model. The record is from RNAcentral.